GACGAACGCUGGCGGCGUGCUUAACACAUGCAAGUCGAACGGAAAGGCCCUGCUUUUGUGGGGUGCUCGAGUGGCGAACGGGAGAGAAACACGUGAGUAACCUGCCCGUGACUUUGGGAUAACUUCAGGAAACUGGGGCUAAUACAGGAUAGGAGCUCGUGCUGCAUGGUGGGGGUUGGAAAGUUUCGGCGGUUUGGGAUGGACUGGCGGCUUAUCAGCUUGUUGGUGGAGUAGUGGCUUACCAAUGCAUUGACUGGUAGCCGGCCUGGGAGGGUAACCGGCCACCUUGCGACUGCGGUACGGCGCAGUCGGCUAUGUGAGACAGUAGUCGGAAAUAUUACACAAUGGGCGGGAGCCUGUUGCGGCGGCGCUCCGUGCGGGAUGCCGUCCUUCUGGUUAUGAACCGCUUUCGCCUUUGACGAAGCGUGAUUGACGGUAAUGGGUAAAGAAGCACCGGCUAACUACGUG
RNAcentral lists this ribosomal RNA (468 nucleotides) under uncultured bacterium. RNAcentral's name for it is "partial 16S ribosomal RNA". It matches the Rfam family "Bacterial small subunit ribosomal RNA", at positions 28 to 507 of the family's 1533-position model. The record is from RNAcentral.